Daphnia pulex (common water flea) is the source of this 1224-nucleotide long non-coding RNA. RefSeq lists it as uncharacterized. NCBI's taxonomy places the organism in Eukaryota, Metazoa, Arthropoda, Branchiopoda, Diplostraca, Daphniidae. The transcript has 4 exons. The record is from RefSeq and is a predicted model, not a curated record.
AGUCGAAAAUAAUGAUUCUUUUCAUGAAUCGCCAUUUAUUCCUUGUGAUAGCCUAUUUUCCUUUAUAGGUGAAAAAAAUCUUAUCUCUUUCGAAUGCCACGAUAAGUUUAGAAUGCAUUACAUUGUGAUAUCGAAAGUUUUAGCAUUUAAUAUUCUGAUAAAUGAACUUGGAGAUAUUCUAAGGUUCAUUCAUCAUUCUCUCUGGUAUCUGAAUCAUCUACAAUGGAUCAUAGCAAAUGGUUUAUUGCAGAGUCAAAAAACAACAAUUCACUUCAUCGGCCGUUAUUGUACAGUAACUUUUUGGUGAUGACUGACGAUAACUAUUCCACCAACAAAGCUCACUCGUUAAUUUUUCGAUAAUUGCUUUUUUUUAAUGUACUAAAUCCUUAAUGUAUUUCACUGUAUUUCACGGAGAUGACGAAUAUUUGGUUUAUUUUCCGUCCGACUAUAGUCGUCCGUGGCUGCCAAGGGCUGUCACCAGGUGGCUAUAUAUUUCAGUGUGUUUAGGGAUUAAACAGUUCUAGUGUGUUGGUAAUGUAGGGGGGUGGGACAUCAAACUGUCAAAGUGCUGAGACGACUGACUGUCGAAACACUCACUCUUUUGCUGCCGAGACGCUGUCCGAGAAGGUUGAAUUUAGUCAUUGCUGGGUACUUUCUUACGUGAAAUUUGUGAUCAUAGACAUGGAUUCCUUGGUUAGUUUGAUGUUGGAGCUGCUAAUGGUGUUGAUGCAGCGAUCAUGGUGUGAGCACUGACCAGUGGUUUUGCAGUCAUUAUCCAGUCGAGAUGUCUUGAAAUGGAGCUUGUGCAGACAUUCAAUUCAACAUCUUUCUUCAAUGUGUUAUUUGCUAAUGUUGGUGUUUUUGCAGUGUUGAGCUGUUGUGCAGAAUAGUCUGUUGCCUGGUGGCUGUUGUGCAGAAUAGUCUGGUGGCUGUCGGGCAUGUUUUAUCGGCUGCUUUUUGUCGAAGUGUCGUCUCGUGCCACCUGUCACGUUACGUUGAGUCGUUCGCUGCCGUUCCGACUUGAUCCAUUGGUGAAACUGAGAUGAGGUUGCAGAAAUUGAAGAUUGAUACAUUAAUUAGAUUUGGACAAAUUAAAAGUGCAUGCAUGUUCUCCCUUUUCCCUAAGAAAACAGUCUCCGCCGUUGGUUAUUCGUCUGGUCGAACGGGAAAUUGCCAUGCAAAUGAUCUGAUGUACCUUUGGAGAAAAAUUAUUUUGACCACGAA